GAUGAACGCUGGCGGCGUGCCUAAUACAUGCAAGUCGAGCGAACAGACGAGGAGCUUGCUCCUCUGACGUUAGCGGCGGACGGGUGAGUAACACGUGGAUAACCUACCUAUAAGACUGGGAUAACUUCGGGAAACCGGAGCUAAUACCGGAUAAUAUAUUGAACCGCAUGGUGCAAUAGUGAAAGACGGUUUUGCUGUCACUUAUAGAUGGUUCCGCGCCGCAUUAGCUAGUUGGUAAGGUAACGGCUUACCAAGGCGACGAUGCGUAGCCGACCUGAGAGGGUGAUCGGCCACACUGGAACUGAGACACGGUCCAGACUCCUACGGGAGGCAGCAGUAGGGAAUCUUCCGCAAUGGGCGAAAGCCUGACGGAGCAACGCCGCGUGAGUGAUGAAGGUCUUCGGAUCGUAAAACUCUGUUAUUAGGGAAGAACAAAUGUGUAAGUAACUAUGCACGUCUUGACGGUACCUAAUCAGAAAGCCACGGCUAACUACGUG
This 497-nucleotide ribosomal RNA is filed under the name uncultured bacterium. RNAcentral describes it as "partial 16S ribosomal RNA". It matches the Rfam family "Bacterial small subunit ribosomal RNA", at positions 28 to 507 of the family's 1533-position model. The record is from RNAcentral.